Molecule: long non-coding RNA, 1263 nt
Organism: Equus asinus (donkey)
Lineage: Eukaryota; Metazoa; Chordata; Mammalia; Perissodactyla; Equidae
Source: Ensembl
AGGGCUCAAUGUCCUACUUCCCUCUUGCAGCCAAGUAGCUGUGAGGAGGAGAGAAGAGGAGGAAGCGCCAGGGAGCCCAGAGCCACCAGACAGUGACGCCACAGAGCCACAGCCAUCACACCCGCACAGACACACACACACCGUCCUCUGCCGUUCAGGCCCGAGAGUCCCGUGAGGACUGGCGUCCCUACUACCGGCCUCCACGCUGUGAGCGCUUCCACUGCCACCCCUCCUGGUUCACGUCGGGCUCCGAAUUGACUCGCUUCACAGGAUUCCCGCAUCCUGUGCUAACACAUCCACAAAUGAGCUCCACUCACCUUGCGAAGAGGGAGAACCGCGCGAAAACGGAAUGGAAGCCGAAGAUCUGGAGUGACCGCUGCCCUCUGGGAAGUGUCGCUCCAACCUGAACAUCUCCGGGCGCCGCGGCUCGUCAGAAAGGCCGCCGAAGCGCGGAAGUCCCGGUGGAAACGGCAGCGCGAGAACCGCCCGGAGCCCGGGCCCGAGCGCAGGUGUCUCCGCCAGGAGCGCGACGCGAGGGCGCGUGCGCGGGCACGGAGCCUGCGCGGAGGCCGCUGGUGCGCGUGCUCGGUCCAGAGGCGCCGCUGCGCCGGGGAGGCAGAGCAGCGUGGCCUGGCGCCGGCUCCGAGCGUCCGGCCUGUGCGCGCAGAGCCGCGCGGGAGGGUCGGCGGGGCGGCCCCGGGGCGAGAGCGCGCACGGCGGGUGUGAGCUCUGAGGGCGGGGCCCCGGGCGAGUCCCCUCAGGCGGCUGCAGCCUGGGGACAGCACGUGGGGCAAGUAACUCCUGAUACCGCCUGGGAUGAGCUGGUUUAUUCAGUGUCUGUUAGCUGCGUUUAAAAGGUGUGAAGGAGUGAAGUAAUGCAUAUUUACGUAAUUCUCUAGGCUAAGCUAUAAUAGUCAAAAUGGAAUGAAUAAUUAAAUGUAAAAGCGAUCUGGAGAUACAUCUGCAUAUGUUUUUGUAAUAUUAAGUUAGGGACAGAUUUUCCAACCAUAACUGAAGAGAGAAAUGCUAAAGGAAUACUGAGAUUUGACUUGAUAAUUAUGUGUAAACAUCUGAAUCAUCUAAAUGACAAUCAAUUAAUGAAAUAAAAAUUGAUGCAAGACAAAAAUUCAAUAACUUAACACAUAUAAUGAACAGACAGAUAAUCUCAAGGCACUGUGUUUUUGUCGCUCAAAAUAAUGGUCACUAGUCUAAGAGGAGAGUAGCAAUAACUAUAGAAAUAUAAAUUAUAUAUGCAAAUUAUCA